GGAGUUGUGGCUUAGUGGUAGAGCGCUUGCCUAGCAUGUGUGAGGCACUGGGAUUGUCAGCACCA
This 65-nucleotide transfer RNA is filed under the name Marmota monax (woodchuck). RNAcentral's name for it is "tRNA.Ala". Lineage: Eukaryota; Metazoa; Chordata; Mammalia; Rodentia; Sciuridae. The record is from RNAcentral.